RNAcentral lists this ribosomal RNA (1365 nucleotides) under Flavobacterium sp. ISF8. RNAcentral describes it as "16S ribosomal RNA". It matches the Rfam family "Bacterial small subunit ribosomal RNA", at positions 61 to 1435 of the family's 1533-position model. The record is from RNAcentral. Lineage: Bacteria; Pseudomonadati; Bacteroidota; Flavobacteriia; Flavobacteriales; Flavobacteriaceae.
GUCGAGGGGUAGAAGGAGCUUGCUCCUUUGAGACCGGCGCACGGGUGCGUAACGCGUAUGCAAUCUACCUUUUACAGAGGGAUAGCCCAGAGAAAUUUGGAUUAAUACCUCAUAGUAUAUAUCAUUCGCAUGUUUGGUAUAUUAAAGUUCCAACGGUAAAAGAUGAGCAUGCGUCCCAUUAGUUAGUUGGUAAGGUAACGGCUUACCAAGACGAUGAUGGGUAGGGGUCCUGAGAGGGAGAUCCCCCACACUGGUACUGAGACACGGACCAGACUCCUACGGGAGGCAGCAGUGAGGAAUAUUGGUCAAUGGACGCAAGUCUGAACCAGCCAUGCCGCGUGCAGGAAGACGGUCCUAUGGAUUGUAAACUGCUUUUGUACGGGAAGAAACACUCCUACGUGUAGGAGCCUGACGGUACCGUAAGAAUAAGGAUCGGCUAACUCCGUGCCAGCAGCCGCGGUAAUACGGAGGAUCCAAGCGUUAUCCGGAAUCAUUGGGUUUAAAGGGUCCGUAGGCGGUUUAAUAAGUCAGUGGUGAAAUCUGGUCGCUCAACGAUCAAACUGCCAUUGAUACUGUUAGACUUGAAUUACUGUGAAGUAACUAGAAUAUGUAGUGUAGCGGUGAAAUGCUUAGAUAUUACAUGGAAUACCAAUUGCGAAGGCAGGUUACUAACAGUUGAUUGACGCUGAUGGACGAAAGCGGGGAGCGAACAGGAUUAGAUACCCUGGUAGUCCACGCCGUAAACGAUGGAUACUAGUUGUUUGGAGCAAUCUGAGUGACUAAGCGAAAGUGAUAAGUAUCCCACCUGGGGAGUACGAACGCAAGUUUGAAACUCAAAGGAAUUGACGGGGGCCCGCACAAGCGGUGGAGCAUGUGGUUUAAUUCGAUGAUACGCGAGGAACCUUACCAAGGCUUAAAUGGGAAACGACGUAUUUGGAAACAGAUAUUUCUUCGGACGUUUUUCAAGGUGCUGCAUGGUUGUCGUCAGCUCGUGCCGUGAGGUGUCAGGUUAAGUCCUAUAACGAGCGCAACCCCUGUUGUUAGUUGCCAGCGAGUCAUGUCGGGAACUCUAACAAGACUGCCAGUGUAAACUGUGAGGAAGGUGGGGAUGACGUCAAAUCAUCACGGCCCUUACGCCUUGGGCUACACACGUGCUACAAUGGACGGUACAGAGAGCAGCCACUACGCAAGUAGGAGCGAAUCUAUAAAACCGUUCUCAGUUCGGAUCGGAGUCUGCAACUCGACUCCGUGAAGCUGGAAUCGCUAGUAAUCGGAUAUCAGCCAUGAUCCGGUGAAUACGUUCCCGGGCCUUGUACACACCGCCCGUCAAGCCAUGGAAGCUGGGGGUACCUGAAGUCGGUGACC